AUAUAUACACACACAUAUAUAUAUAUAUAUAUGCGCACACAUACAUAUAUCCACACUUAUGUGUGUAUAAAGACAAGGUACUGCAACAGUUACAAUCUAAACACUGUGUUUUCAUCAUCUUUUUAGAAGAUGCUUUUUAGAAGCAAAGCCCACCUUCUUGGCUCCAAGCAGGCCAGGUAGCACAGUUCCACUGGGGCAGCUCCAAGGAAAACUUGCUAAAUAGUGAGAAAGAGAUUGUAGUGGAACCUUUCUGAGGACAUUGCUGUGGACUCUACAUGGACCUUGUGGCCUCCUUCUCAUUGACAUACAUAUUGUCUCCAUGCAGAACCAGCCGUAUCAUCCAGAAGAUUCUUCCUGUCAUGUCUGCAAUGGCAAACGAAUUUUCAAAUCAACAACAUGCAAGAAAGUCUGUUAGGAAACGACAAAAAGGUCUAUGUCAGAUCCUAAUUGGAAGAAUCAGGCUUCUCUUUUCAUGUUUAUCUAGGAAUAACAGCGCAGUGGUGGAUCAGUCUCCUUUAGACCCAUCCCUGGAAGCAGUUUCCUCCCCAAAGCAUAAACAGCACUUCAAAGGGGCAGCUGACCCAGUCCAUACGUCUGACCAUGCAGAUCUGCUGGGGGAGGCCAAGAAGACUCUGCAGACAGAGGGAGAAGCUCAGGGCGAACUCAACCAAAGGGAGACUUUGCUGACAGAAGAUUUGGAUGAGAAAUUCAUGCAGCUGGAGAAGGAAAAAAGUCAACAGAUUCUGAUGAGUAUUGAGCAGAGCUUGUUGCAGAAUCCUCCAAUGGUUAGGCUGGAAGAAAAUGUGAUGAAACUUAAGAAAGAGCUCAGUGAAAUGGAAAUGGCAAAUCAAAUCAUGAAAACUCAGCUGAGGAAAGUCAUCCACAUCCAUGUAAGUUGAGAUAAGUGAGGUUUCUUCAGAAACUCAACCAGGGGUUUUGUUUGUCAGUAUUGUGGGAAGCUCCUCUAUUUCAUUUAAACAAACAGGUGCCCUUUUUGUUCUUCACUUAUGGGAAGUUCACUUAGGUCGCACGGAAAAAAAUUGUUUUUACACGUAAUUAGGGGAAAAUAAAAUAUUUAAAAAAGAUAUUUAAGUUUUGUUA
RNAcentral lists this long non-coding RNA (1101 nucleotides) under Phascolarctos cinereus (koala). Its description in RNAcentral is "lncRNA (ENSPCIG00000034648.1)". The record is from RNAcentral. Lineage: Eukaryota; Metazoa; Chordata; Mammalia; Diprotodontia; Phascolarctidae.